This 253-nucleotide ribosomal RNA is filed under the name uncultured bacterium. Its description in RNAcentral is "partial 16S ribosomal RNA". It matches the Rfam family "Bacterial small subunit ribosomal RNA", at positions 524 to 776 of the family's 1533-position model. The record is from RNAcentral.
UACGUAGGGUCCGAGCGUUGUCCGGAAUUAUUGGGCGUAAAGGGCUCGUAGGCGGUUUGUUGCGUCGGGAGUGAAAACUUCGAGCUUAACUCGGAGCUUGCUUUCGAUACGGGCAGACUUGAGGCAUUCAGGGGAGAACGGAAUUUCUGGUGUAGCGGCGAAAUGCGCAGAUAUCAGAAGGAACACCGGUGGCGAAGGCGGUUCUCUGGGAAUGUUCUGACGCUGAGGAGCGAAAGUGUGGGGAGCGAACAGG